GUAGAGGCGGGACUAACCCCGCAUAAGCAGGGCUACAACCUGCCACCUGUUUCGGCCACCCUACCUG
This 67-nucleotide transfer RNA is filed under the name Plestiodon inexpectatus (southeastern five-lined skink). RNAcentral's name for it is "tRNA-Tyr". Lineage: Eukaryota; Metazoa; Chordata; Lepidosauria; Squamata; Scincidae. The record is from RNAcentral.